Long non-coding RNA from Myotis davidii, 515 nucleotides. RefSeq lists it as uncharacterized. NCBI's taxonomy places the organism in Eukaryota, Metazoa, Chordata, Mammalia, Chiroptera, Vespertilionidae. The record is from RefSeq and is a predicted model, not a curated record. The transcript is spliced from 2 exons.
GGGAAGCCUUGAGAUGGUCUGGCUCCAGGGUUUAAUGCCUCCCUCCUCCUCCCCUCUCGGGGCCAUCUCCAGAGAGCUGCAGUCCAUGGCCGACCAGGAAAAGGUCUCCCCAGCCGCCCUCAAGAAGACCCUGCUGGACAGAGUGAAGCUGGAGUCCCCGACAGUGUCCACACUGACCCCCUUCAGCUCCGGGAAGGUCCUCACCAGAAGCCCGGCCCCGGGAGGCAAGAAGGACUAAGACCGAGCAGCCCUCGGUGGCAGGGGCGGUAGAUGCUGGAAGCCAGGUGAACCCCGCACAUUCCCACUUGGUCCCCCAACGGGAGCCAGCGCAGCGUCAGUGUGCUGCCACGUCAAGGAGGUGAGGGGCGCAACACACAAGGGCAUCCUCUUUGCAUGAGCGCGAGCAGCCUGGAACUGUCCGCAGCAGGAACGCACAGGGUGACCGUGCCAUGCUGAGGAAGUAUGAUUCGGUCCUGCCAAGUGUAGCCGCUUUAAUAAAGCUUUAUUUUUUAUUA